UUUCUUCUUCGUCUGAUUCACAACACACACAAACCAAGAUCUUCAACACACAAAAAAUUCAGCUUUGACAGUAGAUAAUUGAAUUUUAGAUAUUAGGGGUAAAUUUUUCAAAAGCUAAACUCACACAUCCAUCAUUAGAUUUCUGACCAAAAAUCCUCCUAUAAAUAUUGAACUCUACUCACCAUAUUACUCAAGCAAACAAUCUCAAAAGACUCUGAUUUCGUAGACGAGGAAUAUCAAGAGUGCUAAUCCGUUCGUGAACUUAACUUUUGGGCACGCGUCUCGAGGUGGGUGAUCGAUCAGGGGAACAAAAGGGAGAUCAUUUAGAGUUGUCAUCCACUUAGCAUAUGAUUAGUUAUUGUUGGAACUAUGAAACACUUAAUUAAUUAGUAAUGCUUAAUGAACGAUUCACUUGGUUGUAAGGAUUAAUGAAUUUGAGUUUAGUUUGUUUUUAA
This is a long non-coding RNA of Beta vulgaris subsp. vulgaris (sugar beet), 455 nucleotides long. RefSeq lists it as uncharacterized. NCBI's taxonomy places the organism in Eukaryota, Viridiplantae, Streptophyta, Magnoliopsida, Caryophyllales, Amaranthaceae. The record is from RefSeq and is a predicted model, not a curated record. The transcript has 3 exons.